UACGUAGGGGGCAAGCGUUGUCCGGAUUUACUGGGCGUAAAGGGCGUGCAGGCGGUUUGUUAAGUGCAGGGUGAAAGCUCCCGGCUCAACUGGGAGAGGUCCUUGCAUACUGGCGAACUCGAGGGAGGCAGAGGAAAGUGGAAUUCCCGGAGUAGUGGUGAUAUGCGUAGAUAUCGGGAGGAACACCUGUGGCGAAGGCGGCUUUCUGGGCCUUACCUGACGCUGAGACGCGAAAGCGUGGGGAGCGAACCGG
RNAcentral lists this ribosomal RNA (253 nucleotides) under uncultured bacterium. RNAcentral describes it as "partial 16S ribosomal RNA". It matches the Rfam family "Bacterial small subunit ribosomal RNA", at positions 524 to 776 of the family's 1533-position model. The record is from RNAcentral.